GUGUCAGCCGCCGCGGUAAUACAGAGGGUGCAAGCGUUGCUCGGAUUUACUGGGCGUAAAGCGUACGCAGACGGCUUGGUAGGUCGAAUGUGAAAGCCCCGGGCUCAACCCGGGAAAUGCAUUCGAAACCACCUCGCUCGAGUAUGGGAGAGGGAAGCGGAAUUCCUGGUGUAGAGGUGAAAUUCGUAGAUAUCAGGAGGAACACCGGCGGCGAAGGCGGCUUCCUGGCCCAUUACUGACGUUCAGGUACGAAAGCGUGGGUAGCAAACAGGAUUAGAUACCCUGGUAGUCCACGCCGUAAACGAUGUGUGCUGGAUGUCGGGGGUAUUCACCCCCUCGGUAUCGAAGCCAACGCGAUAAGCACACCGCCUGGGGAGUACGGCCGCAAGGUUGAA
This 395-nucleotide ribosomal RNA is filed under the name uncultured bacterium. RNAcentral describes it as "bacterial SSU rRNA". It matches the Rfam family "Bacterial small subunit ribosomal RNA", at positions 505 to 898 of the family's 1533-position model. The record is from RNAcentral.